GGGGAAUAUUGGACAAUGGGCGAAAGCCUGAUCCAGCCAUGCCGCGUGUGUGAAGAAGGUCUUCGGAUUGUAAAGCACUUUAAGUUGGGAGGAAGGGCAGUUACCUAAUACGUGAUUGUUUUGACGUUACCGACAGAAUAAGCACCGGCUAACUCUGUGCCAGCAGCCGCGGUAAUACGGAGGGUGCAAGCGUUACUCGGAAUCACUGGGCGUAAAGAGCACGUAGGCGGCCUUGCAAGUCAGAUGUGAAAUCCAACGGCUUAACCGUUGAACUGCAUUUGAAACUGCAAGGCUAGAGUAUGGGAGAGGUAGGUGGAAUUCUCGGUGUAGGGGUAAAAUCCGUAGAGAUCGAGAGGAAUACUCAUUGCGAAGGCGACCUGCUGGAACAUUACUGACGCUGAGGUGCGAAAGCGUGGGGAGCAAACA
Molecule: ribosomal RNA, 426 nt
Filed under: uncultured Wolinella sp.
Lineage: Bacteria; Pseudomonadati; Campylobacterota; Epsilonproteobacteria; Campylobacterales; Helicobacteraceae
Description: bacterial SSU rRNA
Rfam family: Bacterial small subunit ribosomal RNA
Source: RNAcentral